Molecule: ribosomal RNA, 468 nt
Filed under: uncultured bacterium
Lineage: Bacteria
Description: partial 16S ribosomal RNA
Rfam family: Bacterial small subunit ribosomal RNA
Source: RNAcentral
GACGAACGCUGGCGGCGUGCUUAACACAUGCAAGUCGAACGGAAAGGCCCUGCUUUUGUGGGGUGCUCGAGUGGCGAACGGGUGAGUAACACGUGAGUAACCUGCCCUUGACUUUGGGAUAACUUCAGGAAACUGGGGCUAAUACCGGAUAGGAGCUCCUGCUGCAUGGUGGGGGUUGGAAAGUUUCGGCGGUUGGGGAUGGACUCGCGGCUUUUCAGCUUGUUGGUGGGGUAGUGGCUUACCAAGGCUUUGACGGGUAGCCGGCCUGAGAGGGUGACCGGCCACAUUGGGACUGAGAUACGGCCCAGACUCCUACGGGAGGCAGCAGUGGGGAAUAUUGCACAAUGGGCGGAAGCCUGAUGCAGCAACGCCGCGUGCGGGAUGACGGCCUUCGGGUUGUAAACCGCUUUCGCCCGUGACGAAGCGUGAGUGACGGUAAUGGGUAAAGAAGCACCGGCUAACUACGUG